This 930-nucleotide ribosomal RNA is filed under the name uncultured Coltriciella. RNAcentral's name for it is "eukaryotic LSU rRNA". The stretch from base 404 to 558 matches the Rfam family "5.8S ribosomal RNA". Lineage: Eukaryota; Fungi; Basidiomycota; Agaricomycetes; Hymenochaetales; Hymenochaetaceae. The record is from RNAcentral.
GUUGUCUUUUGAUGCUGGUGCAAUAGCAUUAGUAGCACGUGUGCUCAUGGCUUUACUUUAUGGCUUGAAAAAUGGCAUCUGCUUUUUGAGAUUGCUCAUUCCUUCAACACCUGUGCACUAUAAGCAAAGUUUUAUUCCUGCAAAGUCAGCUAUUAUUGUGAUUUGGCAUAUGGACCAUUGUGCAUGGUUAGUUGGCCCUAUCAAUAUAUUGACCAGCUUGAGGAUGAUUAUCCAAAAGCAAAAAUGGAUGCAGUGUGAUAUGGGCUUUCACCAUGUGCAUAUAUGUAUGCAUACAUUCACAGAAGGAUGAAUAAAGGGAAUAGUGACUUUGUCUUAAUAUAAACUCUUGUAAUUUGUCUUGUGCAAUGAGAAGUGGCUCAAUUGUGAGCAAAAAAACCUAUACGACUUUCAACAAUGGAUCUCUUGGCUCUUGCAUCGAUGAAGAACGCAGCGAAAUGCGAUAAGUAAUGUGAAUUGCAGAAUUCAGUGAAUCAUCAAAUCUUUGAACACACCUUGUGCUCCUUGGGUUACCUAUGGAGCAUGCCUGUUUGAGUGUCAUGUUUAAUCUCAAUUCCCUUAGGGGUUUUGGAUUUGGGGGGUUUUGUGCAGGUUCUCCUUUAUAGGGAAUCAGCUCCUCUUAAAAAUUAUUAUCUGGAGGGAUGAAAGCAAAAUUGGCCUUAGCAUUGUUCCAUUAAGCUUAUGAUGUAAUAAUUGUUUUCAUCUUGUUUCAUAUGGGUGAUCCAAUGCCCCAAUAGAGGAAUAAAUAACUCAAGGAGCCUUUUUGGUGGCAUUCUCUGCUUCUAAUUGUUAAAUCUAUCUAAAUUUCAAGUAUUUUCUUUGGCCUCAAUCACGGGAGGACUUCCCCGCUUCAAUUCAACAUAUUAAAAAAACGAAAAGAUCCCCUCCGGGCUUUAAUUGUAUGUUCCUUUG